GAUGAACGCUGGCGGCGUGCCUAAUACAUGCAAGUCGAGCGAACGGACGAGAAGCUUGCUUCUCUGAUGUUAGCGGCGGACGGGUGAGUAACACGUGGAUACCCUACCUUUACGACUGGGAUAACUUCGGGAAACCGGAGCUAAUCCCGGAUAAUAUUUUGAACCGCAUGGUUCAAAAGUUAAAGACGGUCUUGCUGUCACUUAUAGAUGGAUCCGCGCUGCAUUAGCUAGUUGGUAAGGUAACGGCUUACCAAGGCAACGAUGAAUAGCCGACCUGAGAGGGUGAUCGGCAACACUGGAACUGAGACACGGUCCAGACUCCUACGGGAGGCAGCAGUAGGGAAUCUUCCGCAAUGGGCGAAAGCCUGACGGAGCAACGCCGCGUGAGUGAUGAAGGUCUUCGGAUCGUAAAACUCUGUUAUUAGGGAAGAACAUAUGUGUAAGUAAAUGUGCACAUCGUGACGGUACCUAAUCAGAAAGCCACGGCUAACUACGUG
Molecule: ribosomal RNA, 497 nt
Filed under: uncultured bacterium
Lineage: Bacteria
Description: partial 16S ribosomal RNA
Rfam family: Bacterial small subunit ribosomal RNA
Source: RNAcentral